GUGAAUCAUCGAAUUUUUGAACGCAAAUUGCACUCUCUGGCAUUACGGAGAGUAUUCCUGUUUGAGGGUCAGAUUAAAUAAAAAUCGAGGGGUUGCUGUUUUGUGUCCCAUCGGAAUUGGGUUAUCUUUGACCUUUUAAAAAGUGUAAGUGACAUAAAAUUGAUACCUUGUGCAACUCAGACGUACAUAAGAAUAUUAUUUUAUCAGUCUAGAGUUGCCAACUUUUUAUGAGGUAUGACUAUGCUGUUUGUGACAUCGUACCUAUAAUUUACUC
This 274-nucleotide unclassified non-coding RNA is filed under the name Glomeraceae sp. Its description in RNAcentral is "partial contains 5.8S ribosomal RNA and internal transcribed spacer 2". The stretch from base 1 to 71 matches the Rfam family "5.8S ribosomal RNA", at positions 84 to 154 of the family's 154-position model. The record is from RNAcentral. Lineage: Eukaryota; Fungi; Glomeromycota; Glomeromycetes; Glomerales; Glomeraceae.